Molecule: non-coding RNA, 1460 nt
Organism: Phascolarctos cinereus (koala)
Lineage: Eukaryota; Metazoa; Chordata; Mammalia; Diprotodontia; Phascolarctidae
Source: RefSeq, a predicted model, not a curated record
AGCCACGUGACCCUCACUCUCAUCCAAUUGCUAGUAAUUUGGCAUCAAUAUACAGUCAGAUCCCUCAAACUUUACCCACUCCCCUCUCCUGUAAACAACUGGCCAGGGCAAAAAAAUACUAAAUUAUUUGGGACCAUGUUAUUCUGUAAGCUAGGGGGAUUUUAUCUGGCAACCAAAGGGUGUAAAUAUGUGUUUAGACCCAGACACACCCACAGAGGAAACUUACUAUAUGUAGACAUGAGCAAGCCAAAGGCUUUCGAUGUCAACUACUUUAAAGUUCUACAUUUAGAUAGCUAUAAGAUUGUGACAAACAGACAAAAGCCACCAAGCCAUCAAGUCCUUUUUAAACUCUUUCCUUUUAUUGCUGGAGGUAAGCACCUAAAGACAUAGGGCUUUGAGGGAAGGAUCCAGAAUUUAAACUUUCAUUUUGAAUUUCCUGGUCGUUAUUGGUUAAAGCAACUGCGGAGGAGGACCUUUGUCUGAGAGAUGGGAGAACCAGAGUAACUAAUGGAGCCAGUGGAGCCACGGAGACAGUAAAAGAACAGACUUAGCCGACUUUGAUGAAUUCAAGUCCCCCGGCCCACGUGAACUCUGCAUCUCCAACUCCUGAUAGACUGGCCUGUGUGACUGAGAUACAACAAAGUGGGUGAAGGGCAGAUUGUCUGAUUUUCAAAACAAGGGGAAGAAACAAUCUGUAUAUCUCAGGCCUGUGAGCUUAACUUUGGUUCUGGGAAGAAUACUAGAAUAGAUCAUGACAGAAAAGAUGGAGAACUGUGGCCGUAAAAAACGUCACACAGGCUUUCAGACCCGGUAGCUGUAUCUGUGGGUUUUGCGUAACUAUUUGGUGAGUGAUGUCAUAUCUGGAAAUGACUUGCGGUGAAGGGUGAUGCAGUGACUAAAGUGCUGGAGUAGCAGUCAGGAAGAUCUGAGCUUGAAUCCUCCUCAGACACUCACUAACUGUGUGACUGUGAACCAGUCCUUUGACCUCUCUAGAUCUGUUUCUUCGUCGGUCAAAUGGGGACCACAAAAGCACUUGCUUCACAGGGUAGUUAUGAGGAACAAAUGACUUAACAGAUGUAAAGUACUCUGCAAACCUCAUGGUUCUCUGUACAUGUACUAGAUACUAUCACAUGAAAAUGAAAGGCAUAGAUAAAAUAUCAUCUUUUCAAAGUAUAGCAAAUGUGCUUCAAAUCAAAGCAGCUAAAGUACUGAGAAAUAAACAAAAAGAGAAAUGGGAAACACUGACUACUGAAAUUGAAACACAGACUCCCCUUUAUUUGGCCCACAAAGAUAAGUAAGUUAAAACUUAGCAAGUGCUUGGCUGAAAUAGAGUAACUACUUAUAACAGCAAGAAUAGUAGGUAUUGUUUCUUGGGAAUGCAGCAUGACACAUUGGACAUUUCAGCAGGUGGUGUUUAAAAACAACCUGGGAUUCAGGGUUCCUUCCUACAGGGUCCUACU